Molecule: long non-coding RNA, 465 nt
Filed under: Homo sapiens (human)
Lineage: Eukaryota; Metazoa; Chordata; Mammalia; Primates; Hominidae
Description: membrane bound acylglycerophosphatidylinositol O- acyltransferase MBOAT7 (ENSG00000273592.4, ENSG00000275118.4, ENSG00000276935.4)
Source: RNAcentral
GGACUCGAAUCCCGUUGCCGACUCGCGCUCUCGGCUUCUGCUCCGGGGCUUCUUCCCUGCCCGCCCGGGGCCCUGACCGUGGCUUCUUCCCCGGCCUGAUCUGCGCAGCCCGGCGGGCGCCCAGAAGGAGCAGGCGGCGCGGGGGCGCGCUGGGCGGGGGAGGCGUGGCCGGAGCUGCGGCGGCAAGCGGGCUGGGACUGCUCGGCCGCCUCCUGCCCGGCGAGCAGCUCAGACCAUGUCGCCUGAAGAAUGGACGUAUCUAGUGGUUCUUCUUAUCUCCAUCCCCAUCGGCUUCCUCUUUAAGAAAGCCGGUCCUGGGCUGAAGAGAUGGGGAGCAGCCGCUGUGGGCCUGGGGCUCACCCUGUUCACCUGUGGCCCCCACACUUUGCAUUCUCUGGUCACCAUCCUCGGGACCUGGGCCCUCAUUCAGGCCCAGCCCUGUGCGCCUCCUGCUUUUGCCCAGCU